RNAcentral lists this ribosomal RNA (754 nucleotides) under uncultured archaeon. Its description in RNAcentral is "bacterial SSU rRNA". It matches the Rfam family "Archaeal small subunit ribosomal RNA", at positions 102 to 859 of the family's 1478-position model. The record is from RNAcentral.
GGGUAACAUGCCCUAAGGUGGGGGAUAAUCUCGGGAAACUGAGGAUAAUACCCCAUAGGUCUGAUAUGCUGGAAUGCUUUCAGGCCGAAAACUCCGGUGCCUUAGGAUUGGCCUGCGGUCUAUCAGGCUGUAGUGGGUGUAAUGGACCCACUAGCCCGUGACGGAUAUGGGCCUUGAGAGAGGGAGCCCAGAGAUGGACUCUGAGACAUGAGUCCAGGCCCUACGGGGCGCAGCAGUCGCGAAAACUUCGCAAUGGGGGCAACCCCGACGAGGGAAUUCCAAGUGCCAGCACUUUGUGUUGGCUGUUCUCCUGUCUAAAAAACAGGAGGAGUAAGGGGCGGGUAAGACGGGUGCCAGCCGCCGCGGUAAUACCCGCGCCCCUAGUGGUGGUCGAUAUUAUUGGGCCUAAAACGUCCGUAGCCGGUCUUCUAAAUCCUUGGGUAAAUCGGGCAGCUUAACUGUCCGAAGUCCGGGGAGACUGGGAGACUUGGGACCGGGAGAGGUCAGAGGUACUUCUGGGGUAGGGGUAAAAUCCUGUAAUCCUGGAAGGACCACCGGUGGCGAAGGCGUCUGACUAGAACGGAUCCGACGGUGAGGGACGAAGCCCUGGGGCGCAAACGGGAUUAGAUACCCCGGUAGUCCAGGGUGUAAACGCUGCGGGCUUGGUGUUGGGGGUCCUUAGUGGGCGCCCAGUGCCGGAGAGAAGUUGUUAAGCCUGCUGCUUGGGGAGUAUGUCCGCAAGGAUGAAACUUAA